Molecule: long non-coding RNA, 220 nt
Organism: Zingiber officinale
Lineage: Eukaryota; Viridiplantae; Streptophyta; Magnoliopsida; Zingiberales; Zingiberaceae
Exons: 3
Source: RefSeq, a predicted model, not a curated record
ACUGUUGCCGAUUUCAUUUCUUUUCCUCUGGUUGCCGGUGGUUUGGGAGUUCUAGUUUGGGAAAUGAAUCGGAUCUUGGAGUUCCUUGCUGUUGAUUGGGGUUACGGGAUUGAAGAGAAGGAGGUGAUCUUGAAUUCCAGCAGCAGGGGACACACCGGUGAUUUCCAGCCGUGGGUUACACUCUGAUUACGAGGCGUCAAUAAUUUAUCAUCAGAUUUGG